Molecule: long non-coding RNA, 747 nt
Organism: Myotis brandtii (Brandt's bat)
Lineage: Eukaryota; Metazoa; Chordata; Mammalia; Chiroptera; Vespertilionidae
Exons: 3
Source: RefSeq, a predicted model, not a curated record
UGGAUCCUAGGCUCAGUUCAUUCCGGCUCUUCCCUGGAGGCGCACCGUAUAACGCGGGAUUUGCGAGAUGCCUCCACCCACCUGCCAGGGACUCGCCCAAAGGAUGCUGCAUGAGGAGAGGGUUCCCAGGAAGUGGAGUUCGGGAAACCGGGAAACCAUACCCGCAGUGCACAGAGAAACAGAGUGGACACAAACUCAUCCUUAGACACCCCUUGGAGACAUCCCAGGAUCUGAGGGAGUCACCAGGUCAACAUAUAGUCCAGAGUCCUGAGAGAGAGGAUUUCAGAGGAAAACAUCCUUCCAGUGCAGAAGAAUGGAGUCAGGCCAAAGGAGAUGUGUCGGCUAUUUCGAAUUAAAUGGGAGUAGGUAAAUUGGAAACGCUGCCCAAAACCAGGCACCCUGAGGCUUUGCCAGCUUCUACACGGGAGGCUAUGGAGCAGCCUUCCAGGAGAUCUUGGGCAACAAAAUAAAAACCCAUGUGGUCUGCUGCCUGCUGUGUUUUCUCUGUAUGGUCAGAGUUAGCAUCUUGCCUCAUGCCUGAUUCCGUGUGUGUGUGUGUGUGUGUGUGUGUUUGAGAGAGAGAGUGUUCAAGGUCUUCUCCAGGCCCCCAGGCUCCUACUUAUACCACCACCCGCACAAUGCCUCUACAUGUACAAUUGUCAUAGAGGGAGAUGGCAGUAACUGGGAUCUGGGAUCUGGGGUGUCAGACACGAGGGACAGGAAAGGUUACACCUAUAAGACAUAAUC